CAAGAAGAGAAACUGUAGAUUUGCCUCAACUCAACAUGUUAAGUAAUCGCCUGACAUCUACAUAAGACCACCUCUUGGCACCUGGCUACACAAGCUGAAAUGGGUGUUAUGUGAGAAAUCCACACAGGAGAAACCCAAGAAAACCACGCAGGUAAAUGCUAGCCUGGAAAGACAGAGGGAAAACAUGCCAAGUGGAGCCCACCACAAGGACAGCAGUCAGA
Molecule: long non-coding RNA, 221 nt
Filed under: Homo sapiens (human)
Lineage: Eukaryota; Metazoa; Chordata; Mammalia; Primates; Hominidae
Description: HSALNT0341945
Source: RNAcentral